CCUCUCACAUCCUAAAUGAGCCUCAUUUAUUUGAAACACUCCAUUUGAGCUGCAUCCUUUCUGCCAGGCUGCUGCAUCGUGGACCCCUCUUCCCAUCGCACGCUUGGGAGGGAGUCAUGGAUGCUGGACCUUGGAGAGUCAAUGCUUGGGGGGGUUAUACGAGGGGAGAUUCCUAAUGGAUUGGAGUUUUGCUGAGCAGUCUCUGAAGAGGUGCUAUUGGUGCAGAUUUGGGGCACAUUGUCCUGUCCCUCCCCAGGUAAUCCAGCUGGUCCCCUCGACUCGCACAGGGGAACAAGUUUUGGGUAAAUCAGAAGCUGUGGGGAGGCUGGCAAAUCUAACUCCCAAGUAAAGGGAAGACCGAGACUGAGGGGCAAGUGAGAGGGGGCAUGUCAUACACAUUGGGGGGGGGGGACACAUCUUGGACUUUGGAUUUCUGCUGAUUUCUUCGGAGUUGAAAGCCCGGCAGGGGGUCCACCAUUGGUCUUAGUGAAAGCAGCACCAUGGGCUUAGAGAAAGUCUAUUUUAUCCUGGAAG
Pelobates cultripes (western spadefoot toad) is the source of this 534-nucleotide non-coding RNA. The record is from the annotation of a GenBank genome assembly. Lineage: Eukaryota; Metazoa; Chordata; Amphibia; Anura; Pelobatidae.